UUUCUAAUAUAUUUCGACACAAAAUUUCAUUUUUUUACAUAAUGAACCUUAAAGUAACAUUGUUUCACCGUGGUCGUGUCCAAAGAUCCGUCUUAUCUAGAUUUAGGUAAGUGUCCAUUAGAUGAAUCAAUUUCAAUAUCUAUCAACAGCAUAACUGUAGCAGACAUGCAAAAUUCUCAAAAAUGGGUAUCCUAGUUGGAGUAAAGAUAGUGGAAACAAAUUGUACAUUUUAGCACUACCAUAUGUAUCCUGCUGGUUUAUUAACAAUUGUCGCAGCCAGCCCAAAGGCAAUCUCGUUUUGUCUAUCUGAAAUCUUUGCUGAUGUAUCCAAUACAAAGUCGAUUAAAUUAUCAUGUCACUAAAAGAGAUACAACUAGUUCAGCUUGUGUUGGCAGAAAGGACAUAUAAAGCAAAUGAUUAACAGCGAUCUUUACCUAAAGAGAUUCCCACCCACUCAUCACUCAGUUACUCACCAUCCUAUAACCAUUAGUGCAAACAUGACAUCAAUCUCAUCACUGUCCCUUAAGAAAAGAGUGCCUACAAAGAGAUGAUAAGGCAAGGACCUGUUCAGUUUUGGUGAUGCAAUGCUAGCUGCAGAUUCAUGCUCAGCUGCUGGCAUAACUUCAUUUAGCUUAAAUUGUAAAAUUAAAGCAAACCAAAAGAACAAGUAUGGUUCUGUAGUGCAUAUACUUGUUCACAUUUCAGAAUAAGAAUACUAAGCAAUUCAUGCUCUUCAAACUAACAUAGAUGAGACUAUACCAAAGGGGUAAACAAAAAGGAAAAGCAAGAAAUAGAAAAUUUAGCAGACAAGAUAAAUUCAAAGCACAUAUUUUCAUUAUCAAGAAUAUUUCCUCUGUUCAGUCUCUCUGUUGCAUAUAUAGCGAUAACAUUGACAGAUUCUAAAGUUAUGGCCAGGUAAUAAAAUGCACAGCUAUUACGACUAAUGUUUAGUUACACACAAAUGACCUCUCGAGCACAUUGACAAUGACAACUGAACUCACCUGAGUUAUAUUAGGUUUUAAGUUGAAGAUGACCCAUGACUGCUUUGACCAAGGUUUGAUGCCCCUGGACUGGGCGUCUGUUUUAUUUCGGUUCCCCUGCCAGUAAAGCGGGGCCUCUCGCCCGCCCUCAGACCACCAACUCGUGGACUGUAUUGCCUUUUGGGUGCACGUGGACUAAAUGCAGGUUUUAUAUCCUGUAAUGAAGUUGGUGUUGAGCUUGUCACUUUAGGGCUUUGUGUUCGGCGGAACUCCCCACGGCUUCUCGUCACCAUUUCAUCAAGAAUUUCUCCUCCAUCGAUAUUAGAUGACCUUGUUUGAGGGUUCUGAUCCUGCCAGAUAGACAGAACGUCAUUUUUUGAAGCUCCAAAAGCGGAAUGUGAAAGAAGCUCGAUUAAUUGAACAUUGAAAAGGUUAAGACCACUUACUUCACAUGCAAUGUUGUAAGAUACAGCAGGAGCUUCCUCAUAUUCUGCAGCAUCCAGGUCUUGAAGAAAAGCUCCUUUGAAAAAUAUAGGGAGCACAUACUGCCUUACAGGAACUAGAAGCAUGAUUAACAGUGGAAAAAGGACCCCGGCUAUUGGAAUCCAUGUCAAGCCAAAACACAGAAGCAGGUAAGUUGUCUGGAACACGGUGAAGAUGGCAAUUGUUUUAAAGGGUACUGUCUCGACAAAAGUUAAAUGACUCGUCUCCAGCACCCUGAAAGGUUGGAGGAAACUGAGGUAUUAGAAGUAUUUGAGAAAUAAUUACAAGUUUCUAACCGCCAGCUUAAAAGAUAUGAACUGUGCGAUAACAGUGCGUAUAAUAACUACUACUGCAAACAUAAUAAAACCAACAUAUAAGUGAAGUUGAUACUGACAUCAAACUAGCAGAAAGUGACAGAUUUCAAAUUAUAGAAAGAACAAAUGCUAAAAGAAUGAUUUACUUGUAUCGUCGACUUGGAGCAGUAAAAAGCAAUAAUAUCCUCUCCCAGCACUGAUUUCCUGGUAAACUUUCAAUGGCCAUAAAAGCAAAGUAUCCCCAAAGAACUGAAGUUGGGAUCUUCUUCAGGAGAGGCAUAGCAGCAACACAGCCACCAACCAUCAAUGCCUGAAGCAGAUUGCUGAGGCGCUGUUCUUUGACUUCAACAGGUAAAAGAUCAUCUACAUCUUUAUCAAUAUCAAAUAUGGUUUCAUCCACAGGGGCAUCAAUGUAGCCAGUACUUGAUGCCUUUUGGAUCGUUGAUUCUUUUAGCUCUUUCAGUCCCUGCGUGAAGUGAAGGUAAGUAAAAAGAGGAAAAAGAGGAAGCUGUUUUCCAUACCAAAUGAUAAGCAGGAUAAACUACCAGGGCAGGUGGCAAUUGAUAGACUAAAGGAGUCUGCAUUUCAUUGUAAGCUUCUUGAAUGUUUUGGUAUAACUGACCCAGAUUUGCGUUAUCGUGAAUGCUUCUUCUGACUGUCGAAACUAGCUUAUUUCGCAAAAGCUGCUCAAAGAAGAGAAACAAAGAUAAAUUAGAUCAACAUCUUAUAUUUAACUGGUUUUAGAAAGAUGGGCUUAAGAGAUGGUGAAAGUGUCAAACAAGAACACAAGGAAACAGAAAAAUGCUCAUAUACAGUAAUUUGGCUACAAUUCGAACACAAGAAAGUAAAACAAAGCCAUGUAGAAGUGUUUCUUGGUGGCAAUUUGAUUGAAUUUGCUUCACUACAAUUGGCAUUUGAUCUUCUAAAAUGCAAAAAGCUCAAUUGAAACCUUUUCAAAUGUCAAUUCAGUCAGGAGCCUGAAUCUCUUAUUCUUCACAGUAUCAAACUCUUCCAUCAAGGAUUUAGAGCUUAGAAAAUCAGCAAAAAAUUUAGAAGGAAACAGAACCAUAGCCUGAAGGAAGAAAAGAAUCAGAUUUGUAUAGUAGACUUUAGAGCCAGGAAGUCUGGCUAUUACCUG
Long non-coding RNA from Mercurialis annua (annual mercury), 2915 nucleotides. RefSeq lists it as uncharacterized. The record is from RefSeq and is a predicted model, not a curated record. The transcript is spliced from 3 exons. NCBI's taxonomy places the organism in Eukaryota, Viridiplantae, Streptophyta, Magnoliopsida, Malpighiales, Euphorbiaceae.